UCUCCUUUACCACUCUCUGUCAUGUUCAUAGAUUAUUGUCACAAAUGGAAGCAACACAGCAGUCAAUACUAAAGGCAGAAAACAUAAGCAAACAUCUAAACCAUUUCCAUUUCAUGAACCCCUAUCCCUUCCCCCAGAAAAGUGGGGAAACAACUUCUAAUAACAAAUAUUUUCAAUUGCCUACAUCAAGUAUAGAGAAGAAACAAUUUACAAGGAUAUACCAACCAUAUAUGCCCGCAGUUUCAAUUUAAAAAUACAGGAUUCUUCAUUUCCAUAUCACAAUAACAAGCAAUGAUUAAGUAGUAAUGCAAGAAUAGUUCAAUUACCGAUAGACUUAGAAACCAAUUUUACGUCAAAAGAUUUUACAAGUUGGUAAGCGAAGACUCAAGACUGUGAUUAAUCAGUUGAUGCUCUUCAUCAGCAAGUAAAAUAACCAAAAACGGGCCAUGGGGAUCAACAGCCAAAACAGGGAAAAGAUACAAACAGAAAGAGGAGCGAGAAAGCGAAACAGGUUAGAUUCCACUGAGUGCACACAGCAGAACAAAGCAGGAGUGGGUAAACUGUCUGUG
Molecule: unclassified non-coding RNA, 569 nt
Filed under: Hevea brasiliensis (rubber tree)
Lineage: Eukaryota; Viridiplantae; Streptophyta; Magnoliopsida; Malpighiales; Euphorbiaceae
Source: RNAcentral